Molecule: long non-coding RNA, 522 nt
Filed under: Rattus norvegicus (Norway rat)
Lineage: Eukaryota; Metazoa; Chordata; Mammalia; Rodentia; Muridae
Description: long non-coding RNA NONRATT029285
Source: RNAcentral
UCUAAGGCACUAUUCUCAGCCAAGAUGGCCUAAAGCAAAUAUAAUUCCUAACUCUUCAAUGAUGUGAACAGCACAUACAUAAGUCUUCGCUUAGCACUAUUGAGGAGACUACAGUUAGAUAGGUUUGUGGAUUAGCUAAUAAUUAGCACUAUGUAAGUCAAAGUCCAUUGUAAAAACAAAACCUUUAGCAGCAAAUCAACUAAGAAAUGAGAUACAUGAAGAACUCUUGGGGAAAAUCAAUAUUUCAAGCAUAAGAAAAAUCAAGAGCAGAAGCCUGUGUCAGGGAGGAAUUGUGAAUAAUUAAAAGGCUACAAACAUAAGAAUAUGUAUAUAAAGAAAGAAGUAGAAAAUUAUUUAAAAUAUUCAGUUCUACUCCUCCAUUGUUGGUGGGAUUGCAGACUGGUACAACCACUCUGGAAAUCAGUCUGGAGGUUCCUCAGAAAAUUGGACACUGAACUGCCUGAGGAUCCAGCUAUACCUCUCUUGGGCAUAUACCCAAAAGAUGCCCCAACAUAUAAAAAA